UGGCUCAGGACGAACGCUGGCGGCGUGCUUAACACAUGCAAGUCGAACGGUGAUGCCCAGCUUGCUGGGCGGAUCAGUGGCGAACGGGUGAGUAACACGUGAGUAACCUGCCCCAGACUCCGGGAUAAGCCUUGGAAACGAGGUCUAAUACUGGAUACGAGACGCCCCUGCAUGGGGAGUGUCUGGAAAGAUUUAUCGGUCUGGGAUGGACUCGCGGCCUAUCAGCUUGUUGGUGGGGUAAUGGCCUACCAAGGCGACGACGGGUAGCCGGCCUGAGAGGGCGACCGGCCACACUGGGACUGAGACACGGCCCAGACUCCUACGGGAGGCAGCAGUGGGGAAUAUUGCACAAUGGGCGAAAGCCUGAUGCAGCGACGCCGCGUGAGGGAUGAAGGCCUUCGGGUUGUAAACCUCUUUCAGCAGGGAAGAAGCGCAAGUGACGGUACCUGCAGAAGAAGCGCCGGCUAACUACGUGCCAGCAGCCGCGGUAAUACGUAGGGCGCAAGCGUUGUCCGGAAUUAUUGGGCGUAAAGAGCUCGUAGGCGGUUUGUCGCGUCUGGUGUGAAAACUCAAGGCUCAACCUUGAGCUUGCAUCGGGUACGGGCAGACUAGAGUGCGGUAGGGGUGACUGGAAUUCCUGGUGUAGCGGUGGAAUGCGCAGAUAUCAGGAGGAACACCGAUGGCGAAGGCAGGUCACUGGGCCGCAACUGACGCUGAGGAGCGAAAGCAUGGGGAGCGAACAGGAUUAGAUACCCUGGUAGUCCAUGCCGUAAACGUUGGGCACUAGGUGUGGGGCUCAUUCCACGAGUUCCGUGCCGCAGCAAACGCAUUAAGUGCACCGCCUGGG
This 847-nucleotide ribosomal RNA is filed under the name Oerskovia paurometabola. RNAcentral describes it as "bacterial SSU rRNA". It matches the Rfam family "Bacterial small subunit ribosomal RNA", at positions 20 to 877 of the family's 1533-position model. The record is from RNAcentral. Lineage: Bacteria; Bacillati; Actinomycetota; Actinomycetes; Micrococcales; Cellulomonadaceae.